UACGUAGGGUGCAAGCGUUGUCCGGAAUUAUUGGGCGUAAAGAGCUCGUAGGCGGUUUGUCGCGUCGAAUGUGAAAACCCGGGGCUCAACUCCGGGCUUGCGGGCGAUACGGGCAGGCUAGAGUUCGGUAGGGGAGACUGGAAUUCCUGGUGUAGCGGUGAAAUGCGCAGAUAUCAGGAGGAACACCGGUGGCGAAGGCGGGUCUCUGGGCCGAUACUGACGCUGAGGAGCGAAAGCGUGGGGAGCGAACAGG
Molecule: ribosomal RNA, 253 nt
Filed under: uncultured bacterium
Lineage: Bacteria
Description: partial 16S ribosomal RNA
Rfam family: Bacterial small subunit ribosomal RNA
Source: RNAcentral